GCCAUUCUUACUGCCCCAGUCUCACACUGCUCCCUUUGGGUUACCUCUUCUAAGUCCAUCCUACUAGCCUCCUUGUCCUAUCCAUUAAAGAUCCAGCUCUAUAAACUGCACUCGGACUCUUUUUGGAGUUACUCAACGCAGUCCUGCUGGGAACCCCCAAAUACAGGCUGGCUGUGUCCUUUACUUGUUUUCACCAUUUACCUAACAAUGAGGAUCAAACUCAGGACCUUUUGCUUCUCACGCAGGCACUUGUGCCACUGAGCUAUUCCCCCGGACCUCAACAUUGUUCUAUAAAAGGUAAAACAGACUGCCUUGGUUACUCUUCUCUCAUUGCUAACAUAAAAUACCUGACACCCAAAAUUAAG
This 365-nucleotide long non-coding RNA is filed under the name Chinchilla lanigera (long-tailed chinchilla). RNAcentral describes it as "lncRNA (ENSCLAG00000023706.1)". Lineage: Eukaryota; Metazoa; Chordata; Mammalia; Rodentia; Chinchillidae. The record is from RNAcentral.